AACGAACGCUGGCGGCAUGCCUAACACAUGCAAGUCGAACGAAAACUUCGGGUCUAGUGGCGCACGGGUGCGUAACGCGAGGGAACCUGCCCUUAGGUUCGGAAUAACCCCACGAAAGGGGUGCUAAUACCGGAAAAUGUCUUCGGACCAAAGAUUUAUCGCCUUUGGAUGGGCCCGCGUUAGAUUAGCUAGUUGGUAGGGUAAAAGCCUACCAAGGCGACGAUCCAUAGCUGGUUUGAGAGGAUGAGCAGCCACACUGGGACUGAGACACGGCCCAGACUCCUACGGGAGGCAGCAGUGAGGAAUAUUGGACAAGGGGCGAAAUCCUGAUCCAGCAAUGCCGCUUGAGUGAUGAAGUCCUUAGAGUUGUAAAGCUCUUUUACCCGGGAUGAUAAUGACAGUACCGGGAGAAUAAGCGCCGGCUAACUCCGUG
RNAcentral lists this ribosomal RNA (433 nucleotides) under uncultured bacterium. RNAcentral describes it as "partial 16S ribosomal RNA". It matches the Rfam family "Bacterial small subunit ribosomal RNA", at positions 29 to 507 of the family's 1533-position model. The record is from RNAcentral.